This 1000-nucleotide long non-coding RNA is filed under the name Homo sapiens (human). RNAcentral's name for it is "HSALNT0199416". Lineage: Eukaryota; Metazoa; Chordata; Mammalia; Primates; Hominidae. The record is from RNAcentral.
CUCCAGGAGCACAGAGACUGGAUGGAUUCCUGCUUCCCUGUCACUCGGCUCUGUUCAGGCGGUGCAGUCACUUCCUUCACCUCAGUGUCCCUGUUUGUGCAAAUGAGGUGACUAUUGGUGCCGACCUACUUCCCAGGCAGUUUUGAAGAGAAGUGGCAAACGUUGAAGGGCGCACACUCUCCUUCCCCAAGCUCCCUCCCUCCCCACGUGUGCACCCAGAAGGAAAUAAAAGCCGUAAUUUGCACUGGCGAGUCGGCCCGCCUCGUCGAGGGUUCCGCUGAGCUGCUCACAAGGGCGUGCGGAGGCCCGCGGCCGGCCCUGGCCCCUGUGGUGGCAGCAGCUGGCUGGCUUCCCGGGCGGCUACCUCCAGCUGCAGCUGUCGGUGCUAUUUGCAGCUCUCCACAUCCUGAGAGCUGGACGCCGAGGACCGCUCCCUGGAGGGCGUGCGUAAAAUGCAGCAGCGGAGCGGUGAGGAGAUUACCGGAAAAACUGGGAGCGGAGUCAGGCUCGUUCUGGAGCAGGGAGAGGCUUGGGAAGUUGCGAAACGUUGACCUGCAGGGUCUUGAGGAACUGUCGGCCUGGGCUGUCCCCGUGGGUCAUUGAACAUUAAUCAGCCACCAGUCCUCGACCAAGCCAACCGAAAUAGAGUCAGCAGGCAGAAUGACGAAUACAGUUUGAAAGGGAACGAACUUACUCUUAUUCUCUCCUUGGAAAGGCCUUUCCAGACUCUCGAACUCACCCCUGUCACAUUACCCUGUUGUGUUAUCUUUGUGGGCCUGCGCAGCACCUGAAAUGAUCUGUCUUAGGGCCGAGUACAAUGCCCAGCUCAUUUGUAAAUGAGUGAAGGAGUCCCCUACUAGCAGGCUGCCUACUCAUCAAUCAAGUAGUUGUUGGGUUUCUCAUUUUUACCUUUGGAGAUGUUGUCUUCGACCUACGGGAAGGAAUUGGAUCUAUUUGAGGGUAAAGAAAUUCAUCCUCCCUGGGUUUAUGUAUUUUCCAA